GCGGCUGCGGAUUAACUCAGUAGACACGGCUAAGCAUGUAGUACCGACAGCGGAGUACUGGCGGACGGGGGUUCAAAUCCCCCCGGCUCCACCAAAUAAUCCUUACAAAUCAGGCACUUAGCGAAUAUCGCAAGUGCCUUUUUUGUGCCUAAAUGGGUUGUUUUGGCUCGGUAAUGCCAGCUUUAUGACAGCCUUCCUAGCCCAUUCCACAUCUGCUGAUAUGCCCCCGCCGCAUCAACCGUCGUUCCGUUUUCCGACGAUUUUUUGGUUUGAAAUCCCACCACAGGGGGCUGCCAGGGGUAUUAAAUCUGUGUCGACUUAUACACAGAGACCCACACAUGUCGACACAUGCGCCCAAGAAGUACCUGAUCAGUCACGCCUCGCUACAGCACUGCUUUGACAAAAGCCGCUCCGGCCUCGAAAAGCUGCGCGAAACCGAUCCCAGCUUCCCCCGCCCCAUCAAAUUUGGCUCAAGCAAACAGGCUGGCGUU
Molecule: transfer RNA, 491 nt
Filed under: Pseudomonas putida
Lineage: Bacteria; Pseudomonadati; Pseudomonadota; Gammaproteobacteria; Pseudomonadales; Pseudomonadaceae
Description: tmRNA*AQEVPDQSRLATALL*
Rfam family: transfer-messenger RNA (bases 1-94)
Source: RNAcentral